Molecule: non-coding RNA, 203 nt
Organism: Cinara cedri
Lineage: Eukaryota; Metazoa; Arthropoda; Insecta; Hemiptera; Aphididae
Source: the annotation of a GenBank genome assembly
AAUCUCAAACUCCUCCUCCUCAAAUUAGAUUAGACGAUCAUUUUUUUUUUCUUUUUAGUGAGAGCCGUACAAACAAAUUUUACAAAAUAAUUGUAUUAUAUUGUGCAACUAAAAUGAAUUUACUGAUUUCGAUUUUACUGAUUGUAAAAUGGGAUUAUUAUUUUAACAAAAACAUUCUCGUUAUUUCAUCACCACUAUAAUCC